RNAcentral lists this ribosomal RNA (300 nucleotides) under uncultured bacterium. RNAcentral describes it as "bacterial SSU rRNA". It matches the Rfam family "Bacterial small subunit ribosomal RNA", at positions 790 to 1084 of the family's 1533-position model. The record is from RNAcentral.
GUAGUCCACGCCCUAAACGAUGGAUACUAGUCGUGAGAGGUAUCGACCCCUCUCGUGACCGUAGCUAACGCGUUAAGUAUCCCGCCUGGGGACUACGGCCGCAAGGUUGAAACUCAAAUGAAUUGACGGGGACCCGCACAAGCGGUGGAGCAUGUGGUUUAAUUCGAUACUAACCGAAGAACCUUACCCAGGUUUGACAUCGAUCGCAAAGCGUUGAAAGGCGCUCCUCCCCACAAGGGGGACGUGAAGACAGAUGUUGCAUGGCUGUCGUCAGCUCGUGCCGUGAGGUGUACGGUUAAG